Molecule: non-coding RNA, 30 nt
Filed under: Rattus norvegicus (Norway rat)
Lineage: Eukaryota; Metazoa; Chordata; Mammalia; Rodentia; Muridae
Source: RNAcentral
UGUUCUACACAAACUGGUUCUAACACAGGA